RNAcentral lists this unclassified non-coding RNA (619 nucleotides) under uncultured Acidobacteriota bacterium. RNAcentral describes it as "uncultured Acidobacteria bacterium partial contains 16S ribosomal RNA, 16S-23S ribosomal RNA intergenic spacer, and 23S ribosomal RNA". The stretch from base 506 to 619 matches the Rfam family "Bacterial large subunit ribosomal RNA", at positions 1 to 113 of the family's 2925-position model. Lineage: Bacteria; Pseudomonadati; Acidobacteriota. The record is from RNAcentral.
UCUAAGAGAGAACGUGGGUGGAGUCAACGAAGCUGGUCUUCGGAUCAGCGUCAGUAGUUGGCAGCCGUUCCACUCCAACGGUAGUCGGCCGCUUCGGCAGCCGGCUAUCAGCCCGAUCCGGAUCUCCACUUGGAGUACUGGUGGUUAUGACUUGCUGGUCUUCGGCUAGACCGAAGGCCUUUGCGUCCAGCCGGCCUCGGAAGAUCUUUAAGCGGGGCUGUAGCUCAGCUGGGAGAGCGCCUGAUUUGCAUUCAGGAGGUCGCCGGUUCGAUCCCGACCAGCUCCACCAGUUGCUAGAUGGGCCUGUAGCUCAGAUGGCUAGAGCGCACCCCUGAUAAGGGUGAGGUCGGUGGUUCAAUUCCACCCAGGCCCACCAACCCAAACAGGUUUGCAGUAAGGUAGGCAAGGCCGCUUUGCGGCGGCGAGAUCUUUGACAACAGAAUAUUGACGGGCAUACUUAAUACACAAGUAGCGCGAAACACUUUGUGUUUAGAGUAGAUUUUAUGGUCAAGCUACUAAGGGCGUGUGUGUGGAUGCCUAGGCGCAAGGAGGCGAAGAAGGACGUGGUCAGCUACGAUAAGCUUCGGGAAGCCGCUAACAGGCUGUGAUCCGGAGAUUU